UGGGGAAUAUUGGACAAUGGGGGCAACCCUGAUCCAGCCAUGCCGCGUGAGUGAAGAAGGCCUUCGGGUUGUAAAGCUCUUUCGGCGGGGACGAAACGGUUCGUGACAACACCACGGACUAAUGACGGUACCCGCAUAAGAAGCACCGGCUAACUACGUGCCAGCAGCCGCGGUAAUACGUAGGGUGCAGGCGUUAAUCGGAAUUACUGGGCGUAAAGCGCACGUAGGCGGAUUUGUCAGUCAGGGGUGAAAUCCCGAGGCUCAACCUCGGAACUGCCUCCGAUACAGCAAGUCUCGAGUCCGGAAGAGGUGAGUGGAAUUCCUAGUGUAGAGGUGAAAUUCGUAGAUAUUAGGAAGAACACCAGUGGCGAAGGCGGCUCACUGGUCCGGUACUGACGCUGAGGUGCGAAAGCGUGGGGAGCAAACAGGAUUAGAUACCCCGGUAGUCCCUGAGCGGGCUGGCAAGGCGCAU
Molecule: ribosomal RNA, 472 nt
Filed under: uncultured bacterium
Lineage: Bacteria
Description: bacterial SSU rRNA
Rfam family: Bacterial small subunit ribosomal RNA
Source: RNAcentral